Molecule: ribosomal RNA, 405 nt
Filed under: Triticum aestivum (bread wheat)
Lineage: Eukaryota; Viridiplantae; Streptophyta; Magnoliopsida; Poales; Poaceae
Description: partial small subunit ribosomal RNA
Source: RNAcentral
AUGCAGUGCCACAUCGACCCCUCGCGCCGCCCCAGAGAGAGCCAUUCGCUGACCAUGUCCUCCCCGGUGACGGAGCAUGCCAUCUUCUUCCUGCGCAACCACACCGUCACCAUGAGCGCGACCGACAGCGUCAACGCCACAUCCCCCAUGGCGGUGGGCCCUGCGCUCGAGGCGCAGCUUGCCGUCCCGGUGAGCCAGCUCCGUGUCAUGGCUCACCACCCGGAGCACUACCUCGUCAUCUUCAGCCAGCCAGCACACCACGUCAACGCUGUCCGUCGAGGCUCCAUCAGGGUCGACGACGCCGUCUUCAACAUCGCGUCGUGGCACGAGCACGACCACGCCUCCUUCGACAUGCUCCAGGUCCACGUCUGGGUCGUCACCGGGAAGGUGCCUAUGCAGUACUAA